GCAUCGCUAGCUCAGUGGCAGAGUGGUGGGGCGUUGGCUCAUGCAACUUGGGUUCGAGCCCCGAUCGAUGCG
Non-coding RNA from Phthorimaea operculella (potato tuberworm), 72 nucleotides. The record is from the annotation of a GenBank genome assembly. NCBI's taxonomy places the organism in Eukaryota, Metazoa, Arthropoda, Insecta, Lepidoptera, Gelechiidae.